AAAAACAACAAAAAUGUCAAAAUUAAAGUGCAGAAAAAUGGAUAAAAACAUCGACAAUAACAUCAGAAAUUUGUGACAAAACAUUUUGAAAAAAUGUAACCAAAACAAGUGAC
Molecule: long non-coding RNA, 113 nt
Organism: Sander lucioperca (pikeperch)
Lineage: Eukaryota; Metazoa; Chordata; Actinopteri; Perciformes; Percidae
Exons: 3
Source: RefSeq, a predicted model, not a curated record